UCUCACGCUUCUCACUUUCUUCGUCUCUUUCUUUCUCUCUGUCUCUCUCUCUCUGAAACAAAGAACGAGAUUCAAGACCUUACAAAAAAUCACACCAGAAACGAACUCUGUCUCUCCUCGUUCUCUAUUUCUGUCUCAACCACUCUUUUUAUCUAUCAUCUUAUCAAUGCUUCUUCUUUUCCAGAUGCAUAUUCAUGGUCUUAGUUAACACCAACCACAUCUCAGGUAGUAAGGGACGGGGAAGAGGAAGUGGAAUGGAUAAUGGGACGCCUGGUGGUUGUUCUUGUUCUCGAUAGGAAGAAGCAUGAUAUGAAAAAGCUGUGCUAGUGGAGAUGGAGCAGAGCAAGAAGAAAAAUAGUAAGAGGGAGAAGGAGAGAAGACAGAAGAUGACGAUGGGAGGAAGAUGACGGCAGAAGAUGAAGGCAGUGGGGUAGAUUAGGUUUAGUUGGUUGAUUUAUUAGGUUUGGUUUAGAUAGGAUUGGUUUAAUAAACCGGGUUUGUAUGUAAACCAAUGUUAAUAAAUAAAUUGGUAUUAAUUGUAAACCAAUUAUUUGUAUAUUGUUUUAGUUUAAUAAAUAAAAUUUAAUUUUUAAUUAUGAA
Long non-coding RNA from Raphanus sativus (radish), 600 nucleotides. RefSeq lists it as uncharacterized. The transcript has 3 exons. Lineage: Eukaryota; Viridiplantae; Streptophyta; Magnoliopsida; Brassicales; Brassicaceae. The record is from RefSeq and is a predicted model, not a curated record.